AUACAGAGGGUGCGAGCGUUAAUCGGAAUUACUGGGCGUAAAGCGCGCGUAGGCGGUAUAUCAAGUUAGGCGUGAAAGCCCCGGGCUCAACCUGGGAACUGCAUUCGAUACUGUCUGGCUAGAGUGUGAUAGAGGGAGGCGGAAUUCCGCAUGUAGCGGUGAAAUGCGUAGAGAUGCGGAGGAACACCAAUGGCGAAGGCAGCCUCCUGGAUUAACACUGACGCUGAGGUGCGAAAGCGUGGGGAGCAAACAGGAUUAGAUACCCCGGUAGUCC
Molecule: ribosomal RNA, 274 nt
Filed under: uncultured bacterium
Lineage: Bacteria
Description: partial 16S ribosomal RNA
Rfam family: Bacterial small subunit ribosomal RNA
Source: RNAcentral